GGAUGCUAUUCCAAGUCUAGAAGCAAUAAGAGAAUGGCCUUCGAAUGUGCGCAUCAAAUGUAGCCCGUCAAUAGUUGCCAAGAUUUUGAUUCUAUGAUCAUUUGCAGAAACUGCCAAUAAAGUGCCUUCCUUGUUGAAUCGGAUUCGUGGACUUGCUGGUAGUCCUCCCUCAGCAUCAAUGGCUGUCAAGAUAUUGGGAUUAUCCAUAUCCCAAAAUUUGAUUGAGUAAUCAUCACCAACAGCUAUGAACCUGUUCUUGCUAGUGUCAAAUUGAACAACUCCCAAAGAACGUUUAUGAAACCCUUGAUAUGUUCUUUUUAUGGAACCUUCAUUUUCAUUCCAUUCCACCAUGUGCGACUCUCCCUCUUGACUUGUC
Molecule: unclassified non-coding RNA, 376 nt
Filed under: Hevea brasiliensis (rubber tree)
Lineage: Eukaryota; Viridiplantae; Streptophyta; Magnoliopsida; Malpighiales; Euphorbiaceae
Source: RNAcentral